This is a long non-coding RNA of Alligator mississippiensis (American alligator), 3822 nucleotides long. RefSeq lists it as uncharacterized. The record is from RefSeq and is a predicted model, not a curated record. The transcript has 2 exons. NCBI's taxonomy places the organism in Eukaryota, Metazoa, Chordata, Crocodylia, Alligatoridae.
CCCUCCCUCCCCCAUGCCAUUAGCUUGCACAAAAUAAUAGCUAUUGACUUCCAUUGAGGUGAUUAUCAAGAUUUAUUGACCUAGGAAGUAAAUAUUGAUCAGGGUGAAGCCAAGGUCAAUAUAUAUUUGUUAGAACAAUAAAUCUCAUUAUUCCAUGAAACAAGAAGUCAAUAUAUGAAUUGUUAUAGACAUCCAUUGUUAGAGUCAGUCAGCUGUCUUCUGUAGGUUAAAAUUCCAUCAAACAGUACAACCUGCCAGCUGGUUUUCUCUGACAAGAUAACAUUCUCAAAGGCCAGAUGAAGUUAAGUGAGCAUAAAAGGUGAAUAAUCAUUUUCAACAAACUCUGCUGCCGCUAGUAAGGUACAAUAAUUUGUGAUUGUAAUAAUUGCUUUGGACCUCAAUAUUAUUGAGCUCUGAGAAGGUAAAAAAUAUGAGCUAGCUACUUGUCACAUGCUACUUCUCAGCCAAUCCUGAACCAGACAUUUUCUUUUGACACAUAACACCAAAUCCUAUAUAAGCCUUAAAACCCUGUAAGCAAAGUAGGAGACAGAAAUGGAAGAGUCCUCUUAUGUUAUUAAAUCCAUCUGUCUGCUGAUGCUGGAUUCCUUCUGACAAGGCAAUUCUUACUAUCUAUUUAGUCUACCUGCAUAUCUCAAUUUACCCCUGUCCUUACACCCCCUCAGUGCACGCAUGACAAAUGAGCCUGUGAUGGAACUGAUUAGAGGCUGUAAUCAAAUCCUUCAUACUUCAACUGGCUCUGAUUGUCUUGGUGACCCAAGCCCCUCUGACAAGGUUCAAUCCAGCUACUGAAGGAAGUUUUCUCAGCCAAUCAGACUGAUGACCUGCAUGCUCACUGUUAAGCUUUUUCCUUCUGCUUUCAUUUUUUAUUUUCCUUCCAGCAACAUUUUUAAAUACUGGAAAAGAAGGGAAAGAAAAUGUAAAACAAGAAUAAAUACUACAGUGCAUUUGGCUGGUCUAGAACCCUGCCUAAGGAGUCUACCGACCUUACUAUUGACAUACAGCAUGGUCUAGUUACAGAUGGAAAUCUCUUGUGUCCAGGGCUUAUUGAAAACAGCAUGGGGAAUGGGAGUGGACCUGGGUGACAGAAGGUGUCGGCUGUGUUCCUGCCCAUGUCACUGGGAUGCUGUGGGACUUUGCACAAGUUGCUUCUGCUCUCCAUACCUUUUUUCUCUUUCUGUUCUCUGCUUAGGCUUUAAAUGCUUUGGGGAUUUUCUUUUCCUGUAUGUUGUACAGCUUGUAACCCAACUGCCUGCCAGUCCCAUGACAGGCUUUUGUACUACUAUAAUAAUUAAAUUAUCAUGAGUAUCUUCCAGAGGGUCUCUCUCCUGCAUGGCCUUUUUCUAAGUGAGCUUUAAAUGGUCUGAGAUAUGCAGGUUCUUAAAGAGACUGUGGCCAGAAAAUGGAUGAGAAAGAGUGCACAGAUAAGGGUCAGAACAAAGCCAAACACAACUUGCCUGGCUCUGCCUGUAAAAUAUUCUCUGCAGCAAGGGGGCAGGGAACUUGAGGCACUCCUGUUUCCUGGUAACAAGCGCUGAAAUGGAUUGCACAAUGCUACUGUGGUUUGCAUUAGAGUGACAUUAUGCUCUGCCACUAAUGGUGAAAGCCCUUCAUCAGAGAGGCUGGCAAAUGGGUAGCAGGAAUGAACCAGGGAAAGUUUUCUAAAAUCAAAAGAGUUUUACAAAGGGCCGAUUUAUAGGGUGACCAUAUGUCCUGGUUUAGCCGGGACAGUCCCAGACUUCAGAAGCUAGUCCCAGCUAGCUGUUGAAAAUUAUAAAGGGUGUCUCAGAAACACAGGGGCAUAGGCCACAGCCUGGCCAGGAGUUGGAGUGGUGCAGAGCACCUUGCAGGUGGGCAGGCAGGAACCGCUGCCUGCUCAGCAUGCCACCCUACCCCCACUGACUUGUGAGGUGGGGGAGGGGGGUCAGUGUCCCAGAUGUCUGGGAUUUCCUUAUGGUCAGCCUGUGGUGGGUUAGUAGGGGGUGCUCCUGCAUUGAGCCACCCACCUCACUGCGCCCGACCACCUUUCAGGCUCCAAGUGUCUCCCUGGGGGUGCCUCACGUCUGGCCAACCCCCUUCCUGGAGCACACCCGCUAGUCUGGGGGUAACACUACCACCACCCAGGGAUGGGCUUGAUUCUGGCUCUGCGCACCCUGGGAAACACAGGCCUAGUAGCCCUUGAGGGUACUUGAUUCACUUCAAGAACUUGGGAUGCUUCCCUCAGUCAGAAGCACAAGCAGUGGUCUCCCUUAGUCAGCCGAGCCAAGGGGACCCCAAGGCAUAAUCUGGACCCACUCCCAAUAAGUCUCCCACACUAGGUACAAACGAGAACUUUAUUGGUUACAAAGGGUAGGGUUGGAAUAGGGUACAGGGUAGAGCAAUAUCAGAUAAAUCCCAUAGAGCAAACUGGCAUGGCCUUUGAUCGUAAGUCUGUGUUACUGCAAGCUAUAUAUCUAGUUAGAUCUCAGGUAGCUUACUCACAAGUAUCAUCCAGAGGCAGGUGGAGAUUCCCUCUGGAGGCAGGCAGUUCCUUGAUCAUGAGUUUUGAGAGAGAGAGAGAAAGUUUCAGAUGGUCCAGCUCCUCUCUAUCUGAGUUUUCCUCAUGGCUGCUGCCCUCUCCACCUGGACAGUCCUUAACUUAUAUAGCCCUUGUGACCUCAUUUACCUGGUCCAAUGGAGGCCAGCACCUGUUGGCUGUCAGCCAACCAAUUUGAAAUGCAUCACUAGUUGCUAGGCAGACUGGCAGUCCCUAGCCCCCCAGGGAGCAAGCCCCUCACCCAGGUAUGUGAUACCAGUCACGUAGGCAGAGAGAGAAGGUUUCCCCCCUCCCUCAGGAAUGUAUACAGCUCAGGUUACCUAAAGAGAUGGGUUAAGAGAUGGGGUAAGGUGUAUAUCCACAGCCUACCUAUUUAGGAAUGCUUUGUGGUACGUACAUGAUUGCUCCAAGCUUCAUAGCAGUGUGGCAGGCUUGCCUAUAUUGGCCUGGUUCCUUGGGCUUAGUGAACUGCCAAGCAAUUGGCGGGGAAAACCCACAAAUCAGAGACCAGCAGAGGAGGAGCCUUGGGAGGAGUCUGCCCUGCCCCUAUAUCAGGAUGAGGCGAGGAGUGGACUUAACUGAAGACUGUGCUGCACCACCCCCUGACUGGCCAGUCUUCAAUCUUGGGGCAGAGCCCCAAAAGGGUAUAUAAGGAGCUGUGUGCACAGCAGGUGGAGGAGAAGAUGAGGGACAGAAAAAUAAGAAGCUAGGGCUGAGGAAGAGCUGGGGAAGAGCUACCUUGGGAACCACUUGAGGUAGCUCAGGUCUCCAACCCCAGCACGAGGCUGGCAUUGGUGCAAAUGCCACUGCACGAGACACUGGAGAAGGGGAAACUGCAAGCAAGCUGAAGUUUCCAUCUCCAGCACAUACACCCUGCUGACCAUUCCCUUUUAUUGGAGAGGGGAGUACACACUUUGGUACACCUGGGUUACACCAGUAUGUGCAAACACACACUUAUUAACAUAUGGAAUGCAGGCAGGAGAAGAGAUACCAGUAAUGUCAUCAUAGUCUUUAAAACAUGAAAGGCAGAUCUGAGUCGUGGUCUUAGUACAAAAAUGGGAUCCAGAAGCUCCUGUAUUUUAUUGCCAGCUCUGACAGACUCACAUGGACUUGGACAAUUCUUUGUCUCCAUUUCCUUAUCUGUAAAAUGGAAACAGUGAUUCCAGCUGGUGAAAUAGUGUGUGAAUGUAAGCACCACCUGCUGUGCCAGUGAGUGAGAGCUGUGUUAAAGGUAAAUUCGCUCCUUUGACCCUUUAAGGGACAUCCAG